GAUGAACGCUGCCAGAAUGCUUAACACAUGCCAGUCAUUGGCGAAGCUGCGCUUGCGCAGUCUAGCCAAGGCGGACGGGUGAGUAACGCGUAAGGAACUUGCCCUGCAGACAGGGAUAACAGACGGAAACGACUGAUAACACCUGGUAUUGUCAGGCUGGCGCAUGCCGGCCUGAUGAAAGGAGACGCUGCAGGAGAGCCUUGCGUCCUAUUAGCUAGUUGGUGGGGUAACGGCCCACCAAGGCGAUGAUAGGUAGCCGGCCUGAGAGGGUGAACGGCCACAAGGGGACUGAGAUACGGCCCUUACUCCUACGGGAGGCAGCAGUGGGGAAUAUUGGACAAUGGGGGCAACCCUGAUCCAGCAAUUCUGUGUGCACGAAGAAGGUUUUCGGAUUGUAAAGUGCUUUCAGCAGGGAAGAAGAAAGUGACGGUACCUGCAGAAGAAGCGACGGCUAAAUACGUG
This 462-nucleotide ribosomal RNA is filed under the name uncultured bacterium. Its description in RNAcentral is "partial 16S ribosomal RNA". It matches the Rfam family "Bacterial small subunit ribosomal RNA", at positions 28 to 507 of the family's 1533-position model. The record is from RNAcentral.